Molecule: ribosomal RNA, 420 nt
Filed under: uncultured bacterium
Lineage: Bacteria
Description: bacterial SSU rRNA
Rfam family: Bacterial small subunit ribosomal RNA
Source: RNAcentral
ACUCUGGUCGCAAGACCAGAGCGAGUGGCGGACGGGUGAGUAACACAUGGGUACCUACCUUCGAGUGAGGGAUACCGGCGAGAAAUCGCCGACAAUACCGCAUACGCUUCUUCAUAAGGGAAGCAAAGUGGCGCAAGUCACGCCCGAAGAUGGGCCUGUGGCCGAUUAGCUAGUUGGGGGGGUAACGGCCUCCCAAGGCGACGAUCGGUAGCUGGUCUGAGAGGACGAUCAGCCACACUGGGAUUGAGAACGGCCCAGACUCCUACGGGGGGCAGCAGUGAGGAAUUUUCCGCAAUGGAGGCAACUCUGACGGAGCAACGCCGCGUGCAGGAGGAAGGUUUUCGGAUCGUAAACUGCUUUUCUCGGGGACGAGCAAGGACGGUACCCGAGGAAGAAGCCCCGGCUAACUACGUGCCAGCA